Molecule: RNA transcript, 2738 nt
Organism: Siniperca chuatsi (mandarin fish)
Lineage: Eukaryota; Metazoa; Chordata; Actinopteri; Centrarchiformes; Sinipercidae
Exons: 3
Source: RefSeq, a predicted model, not a curated record
UCUCUCUCCCCUCUGUGUCUGUCUGUCUCUCUUUCUUUUCUUAUUCCUUGUUAAAGUCAUACUGUAUUUGCCUGCCUUCAUUGGCAGGGGGCAAGUGAGCUGGAGGACAGGACGGGAGGGGAGGAGGGGGGAGACUUUGGGUUCAGAGAGUUCAGCUGAGGAGAGAAAUAAAUGCAUAAACAACAAAGGAGACGUGACGUCAGGUUGAGGGGCUGUCCAACCUGCUGGCUGAAUCUGAGCCUCCAUGGAAGAACCGGAUUGUUCGUACCACGUGUGUGUGUGCGCGUGUGUGCAUGUGUACAGUAUGAAUGUGUGUGUGUGUCCUAUCUUCGAGAAAAGACUUGUGGAGUUUAAGCAGGGAAGCUGGACUAUUUUGUUCUGUUUUGUCUCCGUGGUGAGUGUUUGAGGACUGGGAGAACCCUCCAAAAAUGUGUGUGUGUGUGUGUAAGUGAGUGUGUGUUUGGUCAGUUUGAGGACUCAAUAACUCAGUUAUUACAGCAGCCGCAACAAGGAAUGAAAUGUUUCACUUACCAAAGACAAAACAGGUUUUGUUUGAGUUUUAAAAUAAGAGAAAAAGUAUCUGUUUGCAAUUUAAUGGUAAAAGGUAUUCCUGUUUUUUUAGAAUUAAACUUAGCAUUUUUUAAAUGACGUCGGCUCAGAAGUGAGCUUUGAUUGGUUGGCUCAGCUUGGGAUACCCGCUCAAACGGCAGUGAUUGGUCCAUGAGCAGGCUAUAGAGAAGGUCGGCCAUUUAUGAACAGAUGGAUUUAUGUUUUCUCUCCUAAUGAUUGAGGUCAUCUAGAGGCGACAGCUCGCUGAUCCAAGAUCUGCAUUGGUGUUCAACUGUCUUGCUGGUGUGAGACAGCAAAGGGAGACCUGGGAAAGAUGCCAAUGGCUGGAGAGAAAAAAAGUGACAUUCUCUGAAAUAUCCACACUCCUCGCUCAUUGAUUCAUUUAGCUGAACUCCCUCAAACCCCUCCCACUCCCGAUGGAGGGAGAGGACAAAUUGACGGAAGGAUAAAGGCAGACGUGGAGAAAAGCAGGCAGAAUAAAGAUGUCGAAAAGAGACAGUUACUCUCCCGGGACUCCUCUUUGAGGCGAGGGAACUUGACAACAAAUGUCUGUCAGUUUAGAGUUCGUAUCUCAAGCCAGUUUGGGCUUCUUUGAUCUGUUGAUUGUACAAAUAUGGUGAAAUGGAAAAAUAUGGCAAAAGUGUCGGGAUCUGCUUGUCUCUCUCGCCAUCUGUCUGUUGCUGCAGGAUAGUAUAAGUACAGUACAAGGUGAGAGGUGUGUUUUGGAUGUUAGAUGAUUAACAUACAAAUUCUCAGAGUGCUCCCAGCUGCUGUACCACUGUUUUGUGUCACCACGUCUGCUCACGACACUUUACGCUGCUUCUCCUUUCUUGUCUUUCUGUGUCUCACUCUCUUCCUUAACUCUUUUUCUCUGACUCCUCCUCUUUCUGUUCACCCUUCUCUCGCUACAGCAUGUCCCUCCCUUCCUCUUUCUGUGUCUCUACACCUCCCUCCUCCCCUCCUUUUUCUCCCCUUCCCUCUUGGCAGCAGUGCCAAAGUGGGCAGGCGGAGCGAGGCAAACACAGCGCAGGGCAGAGCAGAGGGCGAUCCAAAGGCUGGAGAAUUGAUUAUGUGUAUGUUUGUGUUCUGAAGUGUCCUCUGUCUGUGUGUUUGUCUCCGUUUUGGUCGUACGCAACUGCAAGUACUGUGACUCUGUUUUGGAGCUUUUCUCUUUUUGUUGUGUACAGUGUGUUUAUACCGUGGCUUGUGCGCGUUUUGUGUGUGUGUGUGUGUGUUAAAGCGCCGUGUGUGAGCAGACGUCCCUCUGUCACCCUGUGUACGGACAGACGCACUCACGCCAGUAGGAGGGGAUUGUGGGAAGGGGGUGUAGCUCACAGAGGGUGUGCUCCACUCUUCUCUUUUCCCUUCUUCCCGCCAUCACGGCCCUCUUCUCCUCCAGUCCUCCGGCCCAGCCCGCCGCUCACGUACAGGCUCCAGGACAGCAGGCUCUGACAGGGUGGUGAAUCUUUCUGUGGCUUUCCGUACUGAACAGGUGUCUCUUUGUAGACUGGCAGGAGGAAGGACAGGCCUUCUCCGUUGCUUUCUGACCUCAGAGGGUCGACCGAGCCAGAGCGCUGUUGUUGUGUUCAGGACAGUUACCUUUGUGGAUCUUUGAUGCUGAAGCAACAUGGAUGCUGUCCUUGGGGCUGAGGUAGUAGAUUGAAUAGUUGUGGGGUUGUGUAACCUCUUUUUGAGAUAACUAUACAAUCUACUGUCUUUCCCAAGGAGACAGCAGAGUCAGCCACUCACCGACUGUCAUCUCCGGAUGGGCAAUCAUGCUGUCCAAUCAAACAUAAUGUACUGUGACAAGCAUUGUUUUUUGAAGGAGCAGCUAAAUUAGGUUGCAUGUUCCCUAACAGGACGUGAACGUGUGGUGUGUUUGAUUUGGGCUCUCUCAGGGUGAGGUAGUAGGUUGUAUAGUUUGGUGGGUGGGAUUGCACCCUGCUCAGGUGAUAACUAUACAGUCUAUUGCCUUCCUUGAGGAGCUCACUGAACACUCAUGAAUGUUCAACACACUCUCAAGGCUAAGUAUCACAUUUAUUCUUAGAUUUCAGAAAAACAGGAGCAAAUAGAUAUGUGCUGCAAAAGGUUAGCGAUACAUUGCUUGAAGCUGUCAAAUGACUUACUCAAAAAUAUGUACAUCUCAAUAAAGUUAUACCUGCAUCAAA